CUGACGGGGAAUGGGAAUUCAGCUGCUAAGCAGGGAGCAGCAUAGAACAAGUGGUUUCGAAUCUAAAGCAAGGCAGACCUUACUUUCAUCCCCACCUGGCUAGUUCUGGGCUGCAGGGAUUUCGGCGAGCGGUCUGCUUCCCUGUCACCUGGGUCUCCUUAUCUGGAUGAUGGCCAUAACAGUGCCCACCUCGUGGACAGCCAUGGGGCUGAGAUGAGGUCACGAGUGCGGAGUGCUCAGCAUGGUGCCUGGCCGGUCCCUGCUCAGUGAAUGAAAUAUGAAGUAUAAAAGCGUAUCUACUUAGAAAUGCCAUCAUUUAGAAGAACAUAGAAGAUAGAAGAAAACCUGGUUUGAGGCGGUGGUGGAUGAAAUUGCUGUUCAGAAUAGCCUGUCCAGGGGAGGCUUGCUCCUCCCACUCCAGCUUGGCCAUCCAGCUUGGUCCGGGACUUCCUUGGGCCUUAGGAUGAUGCGCGCACUUCCAAGCUUGUCCCUUGACUUCAGGUCUGGCCAUCUUGCUUUGCUUGGGCCAAGGAGGUGGUAGCAGGCACGUCGCAAGCAGAGACUGGAAAUGUAAUUGUAUGGCUCUACCCUAACAUGGGGCUUGAACUCACGACCCCAGCAAGAGUCUCAUGCUCCACUGAUUGAGCCAGCCAGGUGCCCCAGCUGCACAGGUGUUUCAUUCCACAAAGGGCACAGGCCAGCAUGGCUACCCCAGGAAGCCGUGUGUUGGGUCCUUAGAGCUAUCCAAGACCUUCUUGAGGUAGGAGAAGCUGUGGGAUUUGGCUGGGCAGGCAUGCUUCUGCUUCUUCCUGUAAGACCGUGAGGUCUGCACAGAGGCCAUAGUGACGUGGACAACAUCCGCCCCCUUCUUCCUGGGGACUAAGAGCUGCUGAGGGGAUCAGAUGAGAGAAUGUGUGGAAGUGUCUCGUGGAAGUGUCCUGCAUGCACUCCAUAAACGCCAGCUGUUGGUGACAGAUAUGUAACAGAGACCUGCGGAGAACGUUUUGUGAAGACAGAGACAAAGGUGAGGGAGGAAGGAGUUUGGGUAAGAUCCAAGGCCAUUGGAGGAGAGUAAAGACGGAGGAAAUAGUAGUCACAAGGAAGCACAUGGAAAAUUCUGGAAAAAAGGAGAACUAGCAGGGACGUAUAUAUGAGCUAUGUGCUUCUCAUUAAGAGAAGCUAGGUUCAGAAGUUAGGUUAUGGGGACACCUAUGUGGCUCAGCAGUUGAGCAUCUGUGUUUGGCUCGGAGCGUGAUCCUGGGGUUCCAGGUUGGAGUCCCACAUCGGGCUUCCUGCAUGGAGUCUGCUUCUUCC
Canis lupus familiaris (dog) is the source of this 1314-nucleotide long non-coding RNA. RefSeq lists it as uncharacterized. The record is from RefSeq and is a predicted model, not a curated record. The transcript has 5 exons. Lineage: Eukaryota; Metazoa; Chordata; Mammalia; Carnivora; Canidae.